Molecule: ribosomal RNA, 468 nt
Filed under: uncultured bacterium
Lineage: Bacteria
Description: partial 16S ribosomal RNA
Rfam family: Bacterial small subunit ribosomal RNA
Source: RNAcentral
GAUGAACGCUGGCGGCGUGCCUAACACAUGCAAGUCGAACGGCAACACACUGCUUUCUUGCUCUGCCCGAUUGCCGAUGGCGUGCGUAUCAGGAGUGCAACCUGAUCUAGUUUUUCGGGUAAGUUCACGAAACUAAGCUUACUCUCGUACCGCAGACCCCCUACCAUUGAGGGCGUUGGAUAGUCUCGGCGGUUGCGGAUGGACUCGCGGCUUAUGAGCUAGUUGGUUGGCUAGUGGCAUACCAAGGCAUUGACGGGUCGCCGGCCUGAGAGGGUGACUGGCCACAUGGGGACUGAGAUACGGCCCAGACUCCUACGGGAGGCAGCAGUGGGGAAUAUUGCACAGUGGGCGGAAGCCGGAUGCAGCAGCGCCGCGUGCGGGAUGACGGCCUUCGGGUUGUAAACCGCUUUCGCCUGUGACGAAGCGUGAGUGACGGUAAUGGGUAAAGAAGCACCGGCUAACUACGUG